GCGGGGGUAGCCAAGCUAGGACAACGGCGCCGGACUUAAGAUCCGGUCUCGCAGGAGUCCGUGGGUUCAAAAGCCCCGCGCACCCCGCGCG
This 91-nucleotide transfer RNA is filed under the name Methanobacteriota archaeon. Its description in RNAcentral is "Euryarchaeota archaeon tRNA-Leu". Lineage: Archaea; Methanobacteriati; Methanobacteriota. The record is from RNAcentral.